Molecule: ribosomal RNA, 253 nt
Filed under: uncultured bacterium
Lineage: Bacteria
Description: partial 16S ribosomal RNA
Rfam family: Bacterial small subunit ribosomal RNA
Source: RNAcentral
UACGUAGGGUGCAAGCGUUGUCCGGAAUUAUUGGGCGUAAAGAGCUCGUAGGCGGUCUGUCGCGUCUGCUGUGAAAACUCGGGGCUUAACCCCGGGCCUGCAGUGGGUACGGGCAGACUAGAGUGCGGUAGGGGAGACUGGAAUUCCUGGUGUAGCGGUGAAAUGCGCAGAUAUCAGGAGGAACACCGGUGGCGAAGGCGGGUCUCUGGGCAGUUACUGACACUGAGGAACGAAGGCCAGGGGAGCAAACGGG